CCAUGGCAGCUGAGACAUGAGAACAGUGAGGCCGUGUGGAACGAGCUGGCCUACUUGAAGAACCUCACCAGGAAACUCUCGAUUGAAAAAGCCGGCGUAGAAGAGGAGCUGGACAUGGUGCGGGUCCAAGCUGCUAUGGACCGGGCCACGGUGAAGGAGCUCCACUUGUGUCUUGCUAAUGAACACCAAGAAUUGCUUCACAAAGUGCUGGAGGAGCGCCAGGUCAAAAGCAGCACACCGAAAAAGCU
Molecule: long non-coding RNA, 248 nt
Organism: Pseudoliparis swirei
Lineage: Eukaryota; Metazoa; Chordata; Actinopteri; Perciformes; Liparidae
Exons: 3
Source: RefSeq, a predicted model, not a curated record